GUAUCAUUCAGCUGCAUAUACACUAAAGUUGGAAUGAUACAGAGAAGAUCAGCAUAGCCACUGUGCUAGGCUGGUAUGCACUCUUGUGGUGCAGUGGUAGUAUAC
This is a small nuclear RNA of Hemiscyllium ocellatum (epaulette shark), 105 nucleotides long. Lineage: Eukaryota; Metazoa; Chordata; Chondrichthyes; Orectolobiformes; Hemiscylliidae. The record is from RefSeq and is a predicted model, not a curated record.